Ipomoea nil (Japanese morning glory) is the source of this 74-nucleotide transfer RNA. It matches the Rfam family "tRNA". Rfam says of the family: Transfer RNA (tRNA) molecules are approximately 80 nucleotides in length. Their secondary structure includes four short double-helical elements and three loops (D, anti-codon, and T loops). The record is from Rfam. Lineage: Eukaryota; Viridiplantae; Streptophyta; Magnoliopsida; Solanales; Convolvulaceae.
GCUGGAAUAGCUCAAUUGGUUAGAGCGUGUGGUUGUUAACCAUAAGGUCAAAGGUUUAAACCCUUCUUUUAGCG